UCUAAAAGGACAUGAUGAAGAAGCAAAGUUCAAAGGAUUUUUUCCAAAACCAAUUCCUAUAGUUAAACCAAUUCCAAAGCCAAUUCCUAUUAUUAAACCUAUUCCAAUUCCAGUUUAUAAGCCUAUUCCAAAACCAAUUCCUAUUGUUAAGCCUAUUCCAAAGUCAAUUCCAGUUGCUAAGCCAAUUCCUAAUGAAGAAGAAAAAUUCAAAGGAUUUAUUCCAAAGCCAAUUCCUAUAAUUAAGCCUAUUCCAAAGAUAAUUCCUAUUGUUAAACCUAUUCCAAAGAUAAUUCCUAUUGUUAAACCUAUUCCUAUUCCAGUUUAUAAGCCUAAACCAAAACUAAUUCCUGUUGUUAAGCCAAUUCCUGUUAUUAAGCCUGUUCCAAAGAUAAUUCCCGUUGUUAAACCAAUUCCAAUUAUUAAACCUGUGCCAAAACCAAUUCCCAUUAUUAAGCCUAUCCCAAAACCAUUUAUAGUGAAAAAGCCCAUCCCGACUGUUGAGUCGGAGGAAUUUCUAAAACCAAAGCCUUUCUUCAAAAAGC
Molecule: long non-coding RNA, 542 nt
Filed under: Glycine max (soybean)
Lineage: Eukaryota; Viridiplantae; Streptophyta; Magnoliopsida; Fabales; Fabaceae
Description: long non-coding RNA (GMAX_LNC002959)
Source: RNAcentral